RNAcentral lists this ribosomal RNA (253 nucleotides) under uncultured bacterium. Its description in RNAcentral is "partial 16S ribosomal RNA". It matches the Rfam family "Bacterial small subunit ribosomal RNA", at positions 524 to 776 of the family's 1533-position model. The record is from RNAcentral.
UACGUAGGUGGCAAGCGUUGUCCGGAUUUACUGGGUGUAAAGGGCGUGUAGCCGGGCUUACAAGUCAGAUGUGAAAUCCGGGGGCUCAACCCCCGAACUGCAUUUGAAACUGUAGGUCUUGAGUAUCGGAGAGGCAAGCGGAAUUCCUAGUGUAGCGGUGAAAUGCGUAGAUAUUAGGAAGAACACCAGUGGCGAAAGCGGCUCUCUGGUCUGUAACUGACGCUGAGGUUCGAAAGCGUGGGUAGCAAACAGG